This 29-nucleotide non-coding RNA is filed under the name Rattus norvegicus (Norway rat). The record is from RNAcentral. Lineage: Eukaryota; Metazoa; Chordata; Mammalia; Rodentia; Muridae.
UAAAUUCUUGUUUGUGCCUCAGUCUGAGC